This 1158-nucleotide long non-coding RNA is filed under the name Helianthus annuus (common sunflower). Its description in RNAcentral is "hypothetical non coding rna". The record is from RNAcentral. Lineage: Eukaryota; Viridiplantae; Streptophyta; Magnoliopsida; Asterales; Asteraceae.
UCGGAGAACAUUUUCACACAGUUCAUAACCGUUCAUAUCCUUCAAGCACAAGCUGAUCAGAUCUUCAUCUAAACACUCCGAUUACAUCACGUUGAUUAGAUUUUGAGUGUUCGUUAUGUAGAUCGAGUCGAAACUCUGUCCGGUUGUCGUUGUUACGUAAUAAAACGUUGUUUAAUUACGUCUUCGCGCACGAUUACGGUUCGAUUUAACGGUUUCCGCACGUUAAAUCGAAUUCAUCGCAGAUCUAGUGAUCGUUUACGAUCCGAUCCUGUACUCACAAGUGGUAUCAGAGCUACGGAUGCUCUGCGUGUAAUCGUUGUUUGAAUCGGACAAAGUUUCGGUAAAAUCGAAUGAUUUCCGGUUGAUUUUCAACGUGACUUUGAUCUGUUUGAAUCAUAUUUUGAACAUUUUAAUUGAUUUUAAUCUGUUUCAGUGAAUUUCGAAUCGAAAGUUAUAUCAUUACGGAUUGUUGUCAAGCAUACAACUAACUUCAGAUUCAAUCGCAUUAAGAAACAUCACGUUUUUUUGUUGCAGAUCUAAAAAUUGAUGAUGUUGUUUUAGUGUUCUUGUUGAAAUCUGAAUAACAUUCGUAGAUUGAACUCGAAAUUUUAGAUCUGAAUUUGUUUAUCCAUGUUGUUUCUGAUCUGAGAUCUACGUGUUAAAGAAGAUUGUAGUUACAAAUUGUUUGUUGUUAUCAUUUUCGAAAAGAAAAAGUAGAGUAUAACUUGCAGGUUUGUUGUUGAAUUGAUACAUCAAGUGUAGUUUGAGGUUAUGAAGUAAUUUGUUGAAUCAUAAACUGUUCAAUCAUUUCUGUUAAAUCUGUUGACAAGUUUGUGGUUGUGAUUAUUUUCAAACUGAUUUCACACUAUUUCGAUCAAGUUUCGGUAUAUCGUAUGUGUAUAUCGGACUGAUUAGAUGAUGUUUGGUUAAAGUUUCUACAGUUUCGGAUUGAGUCGAUUAAGUUUCGAACUGAAUUGGAUCAAUUUAAGACUGUUUUGAUUGAAUUUCGGAUCAUUUCGAUGAGUUUCAGUGAAAUUGAAUGUUUUUGUUUUGAUGAACAAGAUCUACUGUUCAUAACGUCAAAUUGUCAAAAAGUUGUAAGACGGAUCUGAGUUAAUUGCUACUGAAAGAAAUAAUAUCCAGUUGUGUGUCUUGUUU